UCACAGUUCACUGCCCCGUUAGCAGGAAACCCUGGUGGUACUGAUCUGCUUGGAAGUGAAAAUCCUUGUGGAGAUGUGGGAACUUUGGAAACAGAAAAUUUAGAAGCUAAAAAAGGAUGGCUGCUUAGAGAACUAUUGGAUUCCAGAGAACUACCAUUUGAAAUAUCAUAAUGUCUGUCCAUGCAAAAGUCCUUUUUCUCAUUAGAAUGACAAAAAGUAGAUGAAUUGCAGAUUGCAUCAGCAACCGAAUGCCCAAAAUUAGACUCUUGGUUAAAGAAAUCAUCCUGUCUGGCAAAUGAGAACCUUGACUGAUUGCUAUCUUGUAUUUUUCUUAAACUUGGUAUUCUCAGGGAACUAUACUGUCCAUCAGUUUCAGCCAGCAAAUUAACUAAACUCUGAGGUGAUGUCAAUGUAUUUUCCCAUGCAUCAAAAUCCAUAGAUAGAAUACUUGAGAUAAUGUUGUUUUCCCCUCUAUCUGGAGCAACUUCAUUGUUAGCACUACCUUCAGUAUCAUCACAUCCUUCCAAGUACUUCCCUAAUCCCUUGUCAGUCAAGACAUUAGAAUAAUUAGAAGUCCCAUCCAUUUGCAGGCCACUACUAGGUUGGUUGUC
This 611-nucleotide unclassified non-coding RNA is filed under the name Hevea brasiliensis (rubber tree). The record is from RNAcentral. Lineage: Eukaryota; Viridiplantae; Streptophyta; Magnoliopsida; Malpighiales; Euphorbiaceae.